UGCAUUCACUACUAUAAGUCGCUCUGGAUAAGAGCAUCUGCUAAAUGACUUAAA
Non-coding RNA from Salmo salar (Atlantic salmon), 54 nucleotides. NCBI's taxonomy places the organism in Eukaryota, Metazoa, Chordata, Actinopteri, Salmoniformes, Salmonidae. The record is from Rfam.